ACGCUGGCGGCAGGCUUAACACAUGCAAGUCGAACGGUAACAGGGAUUAGCUUGCUAAUUUGCUGACGAGUGGCGGACGGGUGAGUAAUGCUUGGGAAUCUGGCUUAUGGAGGGGGAUAACUACGGGAAACUGUAGCUAAUACCGCGUAAUAUCGGAAGAUUAAAGGGUGGGACUUUCGAGCCACCUGCCAUAAGAUGAGCCCAAGUGGGAUUAGGUAGUUGGUUAGGUAAAGGCUGACCAAGCCGACGAUCUCUAGCUGGUCUGAGAGGAUGACCAGCCACACUGGAACUGAGACACGGUCCAGACUCCUACGGGAGGCAGCAGUGGGGAAUAUUGCACAAUGGGGGGAACACUGAUGCAGCCAUGCCGCGUGAAUGAAGAAGGCCUUCGGGUUGUAAAGUUCUUUCGGUGACGAGGAAGGUUGAUAGGUUAAUAGCCUAUCAAAUUGACGUUAAUCACAGAAGAAGCACCGGCUAACUCCGUGCCAGCAGCCGCGGUAAUACGGGGGGUGCGAGCGUUAAUCGGAAUAACUGGGCGUAAAGGGCACGCAGGCGGUGACUUAAGUGAGAUGUGAAAGCCCCGAGCUUAACUUGGGAAUUGCAUUUCAUACUGGGUCGCUAGAGUACUUUAGGGAGGGGUAGAAUUCCACGUGUAGCGGUGAAAUGCGUAGAGAUGUGGAGGAAUACCGAAGGCGAAGGCAGCCCCUUGGGAAUGUACUGACGCUCAUGUGCGAAAGCGUGGGGAGCAAACAGGAUUAGAUACCCUGGUAGUCCACGCUGUAAACGAUGUCGAUUUGGGGAUUGGGCUUUGAGCUUGGUGCCCGUAGCUAACGUGAUAAAUCGACCGCCUGGGGAGUACGGCCGCAAGGUUAAAACUCAAAUGAAUUGACGGGGGCCCGCACAAGCGGUG
This 910-nucleotide ribosomal RNA is filed under the name uncultured bacterium. RNAcentral's name for it is "bacterial SSU rRNA". It matches the Rfam family "Bacterial small subunit ribosomal RNA", at positions 33 to 934 of the family's 1533-position model. The record is from RNAcentral.